This 226-nucleotide unclassified non-coding RNA is filed under the name uncultured fungus. RNAcentral describes it as "sequence contains ITS1, 5.8S rRNA gene". The stretch from base 178 to 226 matches the Rfam family "5.8S ribosomal RNA", at positions 1 to 49 of the family's 154-position model. The record is from RNAcentral. Lineage: Eukaryota; Fungi.
UCUCCGUAGGUGAACCUGCGGAGGGAUCAUUACCGAGUGAGCGCUCCGGCGCGACCUCCAACCCCAUGUUUUCCGACUCUGUUGCCUCGGGGGCGACCCUGCCGCUUCGGCGGUGCGGCGCCCCCGGAGGCCAUUAAACACUGCAUCAUUGCGUCGGAGUUAAAGUAAAUUAAACAAAACUUUCAACAACGGAUCUCUUGGUUCCAGCAUCGAUGAAGAACGCAGC